This is a regulatory RNA element of Meleagris gallopavo (turkey), 114 nucleotides long. It matches the Rfam family "Potassium channel RNA editing signal". From Rfam's summary of the family: This family represents a group of sequences related to the human potassium channel Kv1.1 hairpin element which directs the efficient modification of an adenosine to inosine by an adenosine deaminase acting on RNA (ADAR). The ADAR modification causes an isoleucine/valine recoding event which lies in the ion-conducting pore of the potassium channel. The record is from Rfam. Lineage: Eukaryota; Metazoa; Chordata; Aves; Galliformes; Phasianidae.
GUUGGCUAUGGUGAUAUGUGUCCCACCACCUUGGGUGGGAAGAUCGUGGGCACGCUGUGUGCUAUUGCAGGAGUGCUGACCAUCGCCCUGCCCGUCCCCGUCAUCGUCUCAAAC